CCUACGGGGGACAGCAGUGGGGAAUAUUGGACAAUGGGCGCAAGCCUGAUCCAGCCAUGCCGCGUGUGUGAUGAAGGCCUUAGGGUUGUAAAGCUCUUUCACCGGAGAAGAUAAUGACGGUAUCCGGAGAAGAAGCCCCGGCUAACUUCGUGCCAGCAGCCGCGGUAAUACGAAGGGGGCUAGCGUUGUUCGGAAUUACUGGGCGUAAAGCGCACGUAGGCGGAUAUUUAAGUCAGGGGUGAAAUCCCAGAGCUCAACUCUGGAACUGCCUUUGAUACUGGGUAUCUUGAGUAUGGAAGAGGUAAGUGGAAUUGCGAGUGUAGAGGUGAAAUUCGUAGAUAUUCGCAGGAACACCAGUGGCGAAGGCGGCUUACUGGUCCAUUACUGACGCUGAGGUGCGAAAGCGUGGGGAGCAAACAGGAUUAGAUACCCGAGUAGUC
Molecule: ribosomal RNA, 440 nt
Filed under: Escherichia coli
Lineage: Bacteria; Pseudomonadati; Pseudomonadota; Gammaproteobacteria; Enterobacterales; Enterobacteriaceae
Description: bacterial SSU rRNA
Rfam family: Bacterial small subunit ribosomal RNA
Source: RNAcentral